RNAcentral lists this ribosomal RNA (849 nucleotides) under uncultured archaeon. Its description in RNAcentral is "bacterial SSU rRNA". It matches the Rfam family "Archaeal small subunit ribosomal RNA", at positions 29 to 882 of the family's 1478-position model. The record is from RNAcentral.
GCUAUUGGAGUUCGAUUAAGCCAUGCGAGUCGCGAGAAAUUAGAUUCUCGGCGUACCGCUCAGUAACACGUGGGUAACCUGCCCUAUGCUGGAUAAUAACCUCGGGAAACUGAGAAUAAUGAUCCAUAGUUCACUACGCCUGGAACGGUGAGUGGAUGAAAGCUCCGGCGGCAUAGGAUGGGCCUGCGGCGUAUCAGGUAGUAGGGGGUGUAACGUACCCUCUAGCCCUCUACGCGUACGGGUGUUGGGAGACAUAGCCCGGAGAUGGAUUCUGAGACACGAAUCCAGACCCUACGGGGUGCAGCAGGCGCGAAAACUUGGCAAUGCGAGAAAUCGUGACCAGGGAACUCCAAGUGCAUCGGGUAAGACCGGUGCUUUUCUUGACUCUAAAUAGGUCUUGGAAUAAGGGGUGGGUAAGGACGGUGCCAGCCGCCGCGGUAAUACCGGCGCCUCAAGUGGUAGUCGCUUUUAUUGGGCCUAAAACGUCCGUAGCCGGUCUGAUACAUUCGUGGGCAAAUCAACCAGCUCAACUGGUUGAAUUCUGCGAGGACGGUCAGACUUGGGACCGGGAGAGGUGUGGGGUACGCUCAGGGUAGGGGUAAAAUCCUGUCAUCCUGAGCGGACCACCUGUUGCGAAGGCGCCACACUAGAACGGAUCCGACGGUCAGGGACGAAGCCUAGGGGCACGAACCGGAUUAGAUACCCGGGUAGUCCUAGGUGUAAACGCUGUGGACUUGAUGUUGGGGGUGCUCCGAGCACUCUCAGUGUCGAAGCGAAGGUGAUAAGUCCACUGCCUGGGAAGUACGGUCGCAAGGCUGAAACUUAAAGGAAUUGGCGGGGGAGCACCGC